UGCUCUCUAACCUUCGGGGGCUAAUCAGGCUGAGCGGGGAGGACGUGGACCAGCGAGGGUAACGCGCUGCGUUGCCGUGGUGUUCUGCUUUGCUGUGUGUCGGUGUGACCUGCCCCCUGCAGAGGGUGGUGCAGAG
RNAcentral lists this non-coding RNA (136 nucleotides) under Leishmania sp. Lineage: Eukaryota; Euglenozoa; Kinetoplastea; Trypanosomatida; Trypanosomatidae. The record is from RNAcentral.